RNAcentral lists this ribosomal RNA (255 nucleotides) under uncultured bacterium. RNAcentral describes it as "partial 16S ribosomal RNA". It matches the Rfam family "Bacterial small subunit ribosomal RNA", at positions 524 to 776 of the family's 1533-position model. The record is from RNAcentral.
UACGUAGGGUGCAAGCGUUAAUCGGAAUUACUGAGCGUAAAGCGUGCGCAGGCGGUUUUGUAAGUCUGUCGUGAAAGCCCCCGGGCUCAACCUGGGAAUUGCGAUGGAGACUGCAAGGCUUGAAUCUGGCAGAGGGGGGUAGAAUUCCACGUGUAGCAGUGAAAUGCGUUAGAGAUGUGGAGGAACACCGAUGGCGAAGGCAGCCCCCUGGGUCAAGAUUGACGCUCAUGCACGAAAGCGUGGGGAGCAAACAGG